Molecule: long non-coding RNA, 667 nt
Organism: Pan troglodytes (chimpanzee)
Lineage: Eukaryota; Metazoa; Chordata; Mammalia; Primates; Hominidae
Exons: 2
Source: RefSeq, a predicted model, not a curated record
CCCUGUCUCAAACAAAACAAAACAAAAAGUGAUGUAAAGAAAGGAGCACUGUAGCCAGAAUUCAGUGUCCUGGCAUAGUCACUAGUGUGCCGUAUGACCUUCUACACUUACCCUCCUUUGGCUCCAAUGUCCUUAUCUCUCAAAAGAAAUAGUUGGACAAACAACAUUCCAGCUGUUUUCUACUAAUAGUCUAACACCACUUACCAUCUUCUAAAGCGGGAGGGCCACCACUGCCCCUCCUCCUGCCUAGUGCUGAUCAGAUGACAGUUACAAUAGAAUCAUUCUUCUUUUGCCAGAAGUGCAAAUCAUUUCCCAAAUGUGGCCUUGGGUUUUCAGGAGCCCAGUAGUGACUUCUGUGGUCCCUGACUUGCACCCUCACCCUAUUAUUGGAGUUGUGCUUCAUUUCUCUCUGUGGAAAGAGUGAAGUAUUGGGAAAUAUGACCCUGGUCACCAAACCAACUCAGAGACAGCAAGUGCUUUGGCAAAGGAAAGGGCUGGCACAGAGAACAGAGUCGAUUUCUCAUUGUCUUCACCAAUCUUCUGAACCCGUGAAUACUUUUUGCAUGAUGAUUUGAAGCAGCCAGGAGGCCAAGACAGCGGCCAGGAGAAGCAGCAAGGAAUUGAGCCUUGUACAUUUUUCUCAAAAAAAUAAAAGAUGGGGAACCAC